Long non-coding RNA from Juglans regia (Persian walnut), 281 nucleotides. RefSeq lists it as uncharacterized. NCBI's taxonomy places the organism in Eukaryota, Viridiplantae, Streptophyta, Magnoliopsida, Fagales, Juglandaceae. The transcript has 3 exons. The record is from RefSeq and is a predicted model, not a curated record.
UGGGAGAUAAAGGGCUCAUUAUUUGCACUUGUAUAAUUUGCUUUUUGGAUUUGAUUGUUUGAUUCAAACUAUUUUGAACUUUUGACGUUAGGUCUUGCUAAACUGUUUUUUCCCCUGCCCAUGUGAUGUAGGAAAGAUAAGCUUGUAUCAGGACAAACUAGAGAGGUUCAUAGACUUGAGUAAAGCACCACUUCGACCCUCUACUACCUUGAAUUAUCAGGCUGCAACACGUUUUAUUGAGCAUUCUUUCCCUGACCUGACCCCAGAAGCUAAGUAUGAGA